RNAcentral lists this ribosomal RNA (393 nucleotides) under uncultured bacterium. RNAcentral describes it as "partial 16S ribosomal RNA". It matches the Rfam family "Bacterial small subunit ribosomal RNA", at positions 523 to 918 of the family's 1533-position model. The record is from RNAcentral.
AUACGGAGGAUCCGAGCGUUAUCCGGAUUUAUUGGGUUUAAAGGGUGCGUAGGUGGUUUGAUAAGUCAGCGGUGAAAGUUUGCAGCUUAACUGUAAAAAUGCCGUUGAAACUGUCGGACUUGAGUGUAAAUGAGGUAGGCAGAAUGCGUGGUGUAGCGGUGAAAUGCAUAGAUAUCACGCAGAACUCCGAUUGCGAAGGCAGCUUACUAAGCUACAACUGACACUGAAGCACGAAAGCGUGGGGAUCAAACAGGAUUAGAUACCCUGGUAGUCCACGCAGUAAACGAUGAUUACUAGCUGUUUGCGAUACACAGUAAGCGGCACAGCGAAAGCGUUAAGUAAUCCACCUGGGGAGUACGCCGGCAACGGUGAAACUCAAAGGAAUUGACGGGG